Molecule: long non-coding RNA, 1427 nt
Filed under: Anolis carolinensis (green anole)
Lineage: Eukaryota; Metazoa; Chordata; Lepidosauria; Squamata; Anolidae
Description: lncRNA (ENSACAG00000038663.1)
Source: RNAcentral
UAAUAAUAAUAAUAAUAAUAAUAAUAAUAAUAAUAAUAAUAAUAAUAAUAAUAAUAAUAAUAAUAAAGCUCAAUGGAGGCAACACCAUCAAGGCCAUAAACACCUGGGCCAUACCUGUCAUAAGAUAUACUGCUGGCAUCAUAAACUGGACACAGAUGGAACUGGACAAUUUGGACAGAAAAACAAGAAAACUCAUGACCAUUCAUCAUUCACUGCACCCCCGCAGUGAUGUUGACCGGCUAUAUCUGCCUAGAAGAUCAGGGGGCAGAGGACUCUUACAAGUCAAACAAGCAGUCAAAGAAGAAGAGCAUGCCCUGGCAGAAUAUGUAAAGCAAAGUGAAGAACCUGCUUUGAUUGAAGUCAAAAAUCAGAAACUCCUCAAAGCACAGCAGACAAAAAACCUGUACAAGAAAACCACACUACAAACUAGAGCUGACAGCUGGCACAACAAAAUAUUGCAUGGAAAGUUCCUUGACAAAAUUGAAGGAAAAGCUGACAAGAAGAAGACCUGGCUCUGGCUCACGAAUGGGACCCUGAAGAAGGAGACAGAAGUCCUGAUCCUUGCAGCCCAGGAGCAAGCCAUCAGAACAAAUGCAAUUAAGGCCAAGAUCGAAAAAUCAGCUGAUGACCCAAAAUGCAGACUGUGUAAGGAAACUGAUGAAACCAUUGAUCAUAUCCUCAGCUGCUGUAAGAAAAUUGCACAGACAGACUACAAACAGGGCCACAACUAUGUGGCCCAAAUGAUUCUUUGGAACUUAUGCCUCAAGUACCACCUCCCAGCAGAAAAGAACUGGUGGGAUCACAAACCUGCAAAAGUAUUGGAAAAUGAGCACGCAAAGAUACUGUGGGACUUCCGAAUCCAGACUGACAAAGUUCUGGAACACAACACACCAGACAUCACAGUUGUGGAAAAGAAAAAGGUUUGGAUCAUUGAUGUUGCCAUCUCAGGUGACAGUCGCAUUGAUGAAAAACAACAAGAAAAACUCAGCCGCUAUCAGGACCUCAAGAUUGAACUGCAAAGACUCUGGCAGAAACCAGUGCAGGUGGUCCCGGUGGUGAUGGGCACACUGGGUGCCGUGCCGAAAGAUCUCAGCCGGCAUUUGGAAACAAUAGACAUUGACAAAAUCACGAUCUGCCAACUGUCAAAGGCCACCCUGCUGGGAUCUGCACGCAUCAUCCGAAAAUACAUCACACAGUCCUAGACACUUGGGAAGUGUUCGACUUGUGAUUUUGUGACACGAAAUCCAGCAUGUCUAUCUUGUUUGCUGUGUCAUAAAAUAUAAUAAUAAUAAUAAUAAUAAUAAUAAUAAUAAUAAUAAUAACAACAACAACAACAACAACAACAACAACAACAACCACAACAACUUUAUUUAUAUCCUGCCCCAUCUUCCUGAAGGGACUCGGGGCUCCUUAUAAGGCAAGACAUU